CGGCUGCGGCGGGGGCGGAGCUGGCGGAGGAAGUCCGAGGCCUGCUCGGGCUCGCGCUGCCCGGGGGACGCCGGGACUGGGAGGCCGGGCGGCCGGGGCCCUGCGGUGGCGGCGGCGGUGGCGGCAGGACCCCCUGUGCGGAGCGCCAUAUGAGACGGUUUCAGCGGAAGCACCUCACAGCUGUCGACUGCCAGCAUCUGGCUCGGAGUCACUUGGCUGCGACGCAGCCCUUCUCUCAAAGAUGGACGCACAGAGACCCGAACCACGGUCUCUAUCCUAGACCCAGAACAAGAACAGGGACUAGGGGUCGAGGAUGCCCAAGAUACGGCCCUGAAUUCUUCCUCGCCGGCCAGCAGCGGUGCACCAAUGACAUGGCCAAGAGCAAUUCUGUGGGCCAGGACAGUUCUAAGGACUCGGAAGACGGAAUGAUCUUUGCUGCAGAGAGCAGUUGUGGCCUCCCUCGGGAUAGCGAUGGAGAAGCAGGGCUGGGCUCGUUCGGGGCGGCUGUGCCUGCAAGGAAGCGGUCUUGGUCCUUCGAGGACGAGAGGAAUCUGGCCACAGGGACCAGUCAGUUGGACGGGGUUUCUAAGAAGACCCCACGGCAUCGUUUGUCCCCGUCGUGCCCAAGGCCCCGGGAAGCCAGGCAGGAAGCAGAGGACUCUGUGCCGCGGCUCUCUGUGCCGCCUGGAGAAUCCAGCCAGGUGGUGGAGGACAUCGGUCCUGACCCCAUCCCUGACUGUUACUAUGGGCUUCUUGGGACCUUGCCUGGCCAGGAGCCCCAGAGCCAUAUCUGUAGCCUGCCCAGCGAGGUCCUGAGGCACAUCUUUGCCUUCCUCCCCGUGGAGGACCUCUACUGGAACCUGAGCCUGGUGUGCCACCUCUGGAGGGAGAUCAUCAGUGACCCGCUGUUCAUUCCUUGGAAAAAGCUGUAUCACCGAUACCUGAUGAAUGAAGAGCAAGCUGUCAGCAAGGUGGACGGCAUCCUGUCCAGCUAUGGUAUAGAGAAGGAGUCGGACCUCUGUGUGCUGAACCUCAUCCGCUACACAGCCACCACUAAGUGCUCCCCGAGUGUGGACCCCGGGCGGGCGUUGUGGAGUCUGCGGGAUCACCUCCUCCUCCCCGAGGCAGAGGCCUGCGUGCGCCAGCACCUGCCCGAUCUCUACGCUGCCCCUGCGGGCGUCAACGUGUGGGCGCUGGUAGCGGCCAUUGUCCUCCUGUCCAGCAGUGUCCAGGACAUCCAGCAGCUGCUCUUCUGCCUCCGGCGGCCUGGCUCCACCGUGACCAUGCCGGACGUUGCUGAGACCCUGUACUGCAUCGCUGUGCUGCUCUAUGCCAUGCGGGAGAAGGGCAUUAACAUCAGCAACCGGAUUCACUACAACAUUUUCUAUUGCCUGUAUCUUCAGGAGAAUUCCUGUGCUCAGGCCACGGACGUCAAAGAGGAACCGUCGGUCUGGCCAGGUAAGAAGACCACCAUCCAACUCACACAUGAACAGCAGCUGAUUCUGAGCCAUAAGAUGGAGCCCCUUCAGGUGGUGAAAAUCAUGGCCUUUGCAGGCACCGGGAAGACCUCCACUCUGGUCAAGUACGCUGAGAAGUGGUCCGAGAGCAGGUUUCUGUACGUGACCUUUAACAAGAGCAUCGCCAAGCAGGCCGAGCUCGUCUUCCCCAGCAAUGUCAUCUGCAAGACCUUCCACUCCAUGGCCUACGGCCACGUCGGGCGAAAGUACCAAUUAAAGAAGAAACUGAAUCUCUUCAAGUUAACACCCUUCAUGGUCAACUCUGUCCUUGCGGAAGGGAAGGGUGGCUUCAUCAGGGCCAAGCUAGUCUGUAAGACUCUGGAGAACUUUUUCGCCUCGGCCGAUGAGGAGCUGACCAUCGACCACGUGCCCAUCUGGUGUAAGAACAGCCAAGGACAGAGGGUCAUGGUCGAGCAGAGCGAGAAACUGAACGGUGUCCUCGAAGCCAGCCGGCUCUGGGACAACAUGCGGAAGCUGGGCGAGUGCAAGGAGGAGGCCUACCAGAUGACGCAUGAUGGCUACCUGAAGCUCUGGCAGCUCAGCAAGCCUCUACUGGCCUCUUUUGAUGCCAUCUUCGUAGACGAGGCCCAGGACUGUACCCCAGCUAUCAUGAACAUCGUCCUGUCUCAGCCUUGCGGGAAGAUCUUUGUAGGGGACCCACACCAGCAGAUCUAUACCUUCCGGGGUGCAGUCAAUGCUCUGUUCACAGUCCCCCACACGCACGUCUUCUAUCUCACUCAGAGCUUCAGGUUUGGUGUGGAAAUCGCGUACGUGGGAGCUACCAUCCUGGACGUCUGCAAGAGAGUGAGAAAGAAGACGCUGGUGGGAGGGAACCAUCAGAGUGGCAUCAGAGGUGACACCAAGGGGCAGGUGGCCCUGCUGUCCCGGACCAAUGCCAACGUGUUUGACGAGGCCGUCCGGGUGACGGAAGGAGAGGUGCCCGCCCGCAUCCACUUGAUUGGGGGAAUUAGGUCAUUUGGAUUGGACAGAAUCAUCGAUAUUUGGACCCUUCUGCAGCCGGAGGAGGAACGGAAGAAACAAAACUUGGUCAUCAAAGACAAGUUCAUUAGAAGGUGGGCACACAGAGAGGGCUUCAGCGGCUUCAAGCGGUACGUGACUGCCGCCGAGGACAAGGAGCUGGAAGCCAAGAUUGCGGUGGUGGAGAAGUACAACGUCCGGAUCCCGGAGCUGGUGCAGCGCAUCGAGCGGUGCCACAUCGAGGACUUGGACUUCGCAGAGUACAUUCUGGGCACCGUGCACAAGGCCAAAGGCCUGGAGUUUGACACUGUGCACGUCCUGGACGAUUUCGUGAAAGUGCCUUGUGCCCGGCACAACCUGGCUCAGCUGCCCCACUUCAGAGUCGAGUCGUUCUCUGAGGACGAAUGGAACUUACUGUAUGUGGCGGUAACUCGUGCCAGGAGGCGCCUCAUCAUGACCAAGUCCUUGGAGAACAUCCUGACGUUGGCUGGGGAGUACUUCUUGCAAGUGGAGCUGACGAGUAACGUGUUAAAGACGGGCGUGGUUCGCUGCUGCGUGGGGCAGUGCAGCAACGCCAUCCCAGUGGACACCGUGCUCACCAUGCGGAAGCUCCCCAUCACCUACAGCAACAGGAAGGAGAACAAGGGCGGGUACCUCUGCCACUCGUGCGCGGAGCAGCGCAUCGGGCCGCUGGCCUUCCUGACCGCCUCCCCGGAGCAGGUGCGCGCCAUGGACCGCACCGUGGAGGACGUUGUGCUGCCGCGGCACGAAGCCCUGCUUUUCCUCGUGUUCUGACGUCAGGGAGGAGCGCUCCUCGGGCCGGGGCCGGGCGGGCUCCUGCCCCGCAGACGGCGCAUCGGGGCCUCCCUGCCCCGACCCCGGACUCACUCGCGGAGCGUUUUCUGAGGACGACGAAGCCCACCAGAGUUGGACCUUGCGGUUUCUCCGCCCCUCGCUUCAGGGAUGCAGAUGGCAGGUGGGGGAGCUGGCCUGGCCGUGCCCAGAGCUCGCCGCAUCUAGUUCGCGCCCGGCCCGCGGAGUGGAGAGCAGACCUCGUGGCUUGAGCCGCUGCAGCCUCCCCUAACCCCUCCUCCGUCAGGCCUCUAGUGGACGUAGCGGGCGGCCGGUGAGUAAAGCGAGGUGCUGGGGCGGGGAGCGCCGAGUUAACGGCUGCAGCUGGCGGAGGACAGAGGUGAACGCGUUGCCGGAAAGGGACGGGCUGGGGCAUCCACUCCACCAGCACGCCUGGCCUUCCUUACUUGGUGCUUUUGGAUAACUGAACAAAACAGCGAGUGAAGGGAAAUGAUGUGGAUGUGGACCCGGCACAGUGUCCAGGGUCGUUGGAAAGAGGGGUUUGGGGGAUGAGUGGCGAUAGGGGGUGGGGAUGUUGGUUUAUGGAAGCAUUUACUGGAAACCUCGUUUUACCAACCAGAGAGGAGGCAGCUUAUUUACCGGAGGCAUCACGGCUCACUGGGCCUUCACGGAGCACCUGCUGUGGGGCAGAGGCCCUGGGAGUGGGCGUCUGGAAUGGGAAGUGGUCCUGGCUCACGGAGGUGGCGGUGAGCAGUGUGAUCGCAGAGAGGGGCCCGCAGCGCACCUGGGGCGGGAGGGGUGUCCUGCCAGAGCAGGUGGGGCUGGGGCUGAGCUUAGUAACAGGGCGGUGAUUAGCUGGCUCUUCAGGAAGGAAUGAGGGAAAGUAGGUUCCUGGAAGAAAGGGGAACAUGAAGGGAAAAAAGUGUGUGUGGUAACAGUACUGUCAGAGCAAACGUCAGCGCUGGUAUUUUGGUACUUAUUUAAAAAAAAAACAGAAUCUAGGAGUUGACAGUGGUAUUUAAUUUUUAAGUGUUAAGAAUUUCUUAAAAAAUUAUUAAAACCAAAUGGUUGUUUCAAAUAGAAAAAUAAUUUUUAAAUACACAGUAAAAAUAGAAAUUAUAUUUAUUUAUUUAAGUCUCUUAAGGAACUCAGUAGUUUAUGAAGAUAGAAAUUCCUAUAUAAAAUUUAGUUUUGUUAAAUAUACUUACAAAGUUAAUUGUAUUUUAUUUAUGUAUUUUUAUUAAAUUUUUCUUAAUUGAAAUAUAGUUGUUUUACAAUGCUAGUUUCAGGCGUACAAGAUAAUGAUUUAACAUUUUUAUAGAUGGUACUCCAUUUGAAAUUAUUACAAACUAGUGGCUAUAAUUUCCCUGUGCUGGCUGAUAUAUUCUUGUUUGUUUUAUAUGUAGUAGUUCACAUCUCUUAAUCUCAUGUCCAUAUGUAUGAAGUUAAGUAUCUAUUAUGAUUUAAUAUAAGUAAUUAGAUGGAAAAAAUAAAAGCAUUAUUGAAAAAUAUAAACUAAAUACUAGAUGAAAAUGAAAAUCUUUUAGCUCUUUUUAAAAGUAUAGUCUUUAAGACAUAAGGCUUCCAUGGUUUCAUUGAGUUGUGAACAUAUUUUUGUGUAAGACUUUCUGUAGAAGUUUGGUUUUUUUGGUUGGUUUUGAUUUUAUAUCACAUAAAUUGGGAGAAAAAUAAGGGAAAUAAUUAUAAGCUAGUUCCUGAUAUUUUUCUUUGGUUCACUAGUUUUUUAAUAAUCCUUUUAUUUGGUAACUUGGAGGUCUUUUUUUGUUUUUCUAAGAAUUCGAAGACCACUGAUAGCAAGUUCUAGUUUUUUGUUUCAAAGAAAGGAUUUCUGAUUUGUCUCCAUCUUCUUUGAUUUUUUCUUGUAUAUAGGGAUUUUGAUGCAGUUACCCAUAUAAAAACAAAUUCUGUUAUGUCAUGUUCCAUUCGUCUAGACGAUAUUUGAAAUACAAUAAAAACUAUUCUUGGAAUAGAAGCAUUCAGAUACCAUAGUGCAUUGUGGACUAUGCAUUAGUUUGUCCUUCCACAUAAUUAUUCUGAAGACAUAUUUCAGACUUUAGAUUAAAAAAAAAGGUGAUAGCAUUAGACCAACCUAAAAUACUGAUCUAGAGAUGUUUUAAAAUAUCACAGAAUCUCAGCAGCUGAAAUUGCCAUCACUAAAGGUCUGACACUGCAGGAAAUACCUGAGGAGAUGAGAAAUGUGUGUGGCUGGAGGGUGUAUACAGUAGGAGCAGGCGAGUGAGGGGCCAGGCAGUAAAGGGCCCUGGACAUGCGGGAGUUUGAGUGGUUGCCUGAAAAACUACGAGGAAUGAGUGAAAAAUUUUAAGACAUCAGAUUUUCUAUUCAGGAAGAACAUUCCAGUUGUAGGUGGGAGGGUGUUUUAAGAAGGUCAGAUAAAUUAAAAGGCCCAGAGUCGUCGUUGCAGCAAGAAAUGACAGCUGAUGGGCUGGACCAGGACAGCUGGAGUGGGUCUGGUGAGGAGGGGGUGGGUGCUGGAGGGGUGGGGCUUACAGUGCGGCCCCCAGGGGAGCGGCGUGAGCCUCGCCCGGGAACUUGAUGCACAUGCACAUUCUCGGCCCUCGCCCCACAUCUGCUGGACCAGAAGCCAUGAGGUUGAGGCCUGGCAGUUGGUGUUGGACACGCCCUGUGAGAGGUUCUGAUGCACACUAAGUCUGGGGAAAGUGCCCUCGGGAUCAAGAGGUAGAGUCAACAGGAUGCGGGGAGUGCUUCGAUGGGCACAGUGAGUCAGUGGUAGGAAUCCCAGCGGCACCUCCGUUUCCUGGCUCGUUUGCAGGGUAGGUGAGGGUGCCCUUCAAUGAGGUCUGCUGCUGAGGGCAGGGGAGGGUCCGUGGGGGUGGUCUUCUGGGCCGCUGGGAGACUGAGCCUCCAGCUUUCCCCUGUAUCUUCAUCCCAGUACUGGGGCCUCAUCCGUAUCCAGUCAGUGCUUUACCUUCCAGCUUUCAGAUUUCCUAAACCUGGUGCUGCUGUUAAAUCCAGCUAAUGUGACUCAACACAUUGAAGACUCAGACUCGUAAGUGGGGUUUCCGGCUCUCUGGCCUUGCGUCUCUAAGGGAUGCAACUCAGCGUGGCUAUGAAGUCUCUCGGUUCCAGUCUCCGGUGGCUCAAGUUGAGACUUCAGGGAUUUGGGCUCGUUGUUCUCUGCCUGAAUUGUUCAGGGCCAUUAGUGGUAGCCGCCCAUCUGCGGCCUUGGGUGUCUCUCCCCGUAGUAUUUGAGGCAGGCAGAGGUGCUGUCUCCCGGGGCCGGGCCUACGGCGGGCAGCCGUUCAGGCCACCUCUGAGGAGCGAAUUCCCUGCCACUAGAGUCCCACCUCAGACGGUGAGCAGAACCUAGCGCUGUUUGCUGCCGUGUCCGAGGCAGAGAACCAGCCGAAGCUGUACUUUAUUUCCCUACUUCUCUGUAAUUGGCAGUACCCACUCCUAGUACCAAAUUAUUGGUUGGGACCUUUGAAUAACAAGUAAUGAAAAUGGAAUUUGUAAUAAGGAAAAAGAAAAUUUGCUGGAGAAAUGUGGGGGGGCUCAGAGAAUCACAGGAAGAUGGAGGUUUAGGUCUGGAAACGGGGUAGGAACCAAAGCAGUGUGGAGAACUCAGAAACAGGCAGCUUGACAGCCGUGCGAUGCCGGAAUCCUUGCCAGUGUGGGCUCUGUGGUCCCGUCGUGUUUAUCCAGUCCCUACUCAGUGCGUCCAAUGGGUCUCGCUGGGGUCAGGGGUCAGGGGUCACCCCUACCCUGGGGGGGUGGGGAGAGGGGAUAUCAGCCUCUGCGUUGGUGGGUGGUGAGGCUCUCCAACACAAUGGCGGGUCCCCAAAACUGGAGAAGAGGGAGUGUUACAUCCUGGAUACCUGAAAACAGCAAAAGUAGAAUGGGUGGACGGGAGAAAAGUGUGAACCAGAAUUCCUGCAUAAAUGUAGCGCCGUAUAUUUAGAAAUUCUGGGCAAACAGUCACACAUUGAAGUCCUGAUAUGUCCCCGGCCGUGCAAGGUGGUGGGGAUGCUGUGGUUUGAAUCUGGCUGGUCUUGCCUUCAAGGACACAGGCUGAUGGGGAAACAAGCAAGUAAACUCAGAAUUCUCAGCUGCAUUCUUUAAGUCCUGAGGCCAGAAUGGAAGAAAGCAGAGUGAGCAAUUAGAAACCCUUCAGUGUGCCUUUUUGGUCCCUGGUCUCUUAACUUCCUAAUGGCUAGAGGAGGGCUUCAGAAGAGGAGAGAACAAGUCUUACUUAUUGGUCAAGGAAAAUCAAGUGAAGAUAAAAAAGAUGAAGGCCACUUAGCGUUCCUCGUGACGAAUGUGGAAGACAGGAAAUGAGAGGAGGGAGAAAUGUGAAUUAUGCCGCUCUGUAGCCAGCUGACGGUGUCAUCCGGGCCAGGGACUUCACAGCUGGGGAACUCGCAAAUCCUGCUGAGUGCUGUGUACUUUCCUGCUGAGAAACAGAAAUACAAAGACGGACCCUUCUCAGCACCUGGCAGAUGCAGACCCCGGUCCUUCUCUGCACUCAUUCAUCCAGCAUUCCUUGGCAUUUACGGAGUGCCGAGAUUGAAAGAUGAAUGCCACUCCCCUGGUGGCCUUGAGAAGGACUGUGGUGGACAGUCUCCAAAGAUGGUUUCCCUUGGUUCCUUGCCUCCUUUUUUGUCAUUCCUCCCUCCCCUUGAGGCUGGGUGGCCUGGUGGCUUGCUUUGACCAAUACAGUGCAACAGAUGUGCCCAUAAAAUGUGCCAGUUCCUGGC
Molecule: non-coding RNA, 8065 nt
Organism: Vicugna pacos (alpaca)
Lineage: Eukaryota; Metazoa; Chordata; Mammalia; Artiodactyla; Camelidae
Source: RefSeq, a predicted model, not a curated record